GUGCUUGCUUCGGCACCACAUAUACUAAAACUGGAAUGAUACAGAAAAGAUUAGUCUGACCCCUGUGCAAGGAUGACACACAAAUUCAUGAAGCAUUCCAUAUUUUU
Molecule: small nuclear RNA, 107 nt
Organism: Loxodonta africana (African savanna elephant)
Lineage: Eukaryota; Metazoa; Chordata; Mammalia; Proboscidea; Elephantidae
Source: Ensembl